Prolemur simus (greater bamboo lemur) is the source of this 104-nucleotide small nuclear RNA. Lineage: Eukaryota; Metazoa; Chordata; Mammalia; Primates; Lemuridae. The record is from Ensembl.
GUGCUCGCUUCAGCAGCACAUAUACUAAAAUUGGAACGAUACAGAAAUUAGCAUGGCCCCUGUGCACGGAUGAUGCAUGGAUUCGUGAAGUGUUCCAUAUUUAA